This 197-nucleotide ribosomal RNA is filed under the name uncultured bacterium. Its description in RNAcentral is "partial 16S ribosomal RNA". It matches the Rfam family "Bacterial small subunit ribosomal RNA", at positions 328 to 539 of the family's 1533-position model. The record is from RNAcentral.
ACGCUCGACACCUACGGAGGCAGCAGUGGGGAAUAUUGCACAAUGGGGGAAACCCUGAUGCAGCGACGCCGCGUGGAGGAAGAAGGUCUUCGGAUUGUAAACUCCUGUUGUUGGGGAAAAAGAGGAUGGUACCCAACAAGGAAGUGGCGGCUAACUACGUGCUAGCAGCCGCGGUAAUCUGAGCGGGCUGGCAAGGC